RNAcentral lists this ribosomal RNA (923 nucleotides) under Lactobacillus crispatus. RNAcentral describes it as "bacterial SSU rRNA". It matches the Rfam family "Bacterial small subunit ribosomal RNA", at positions 10 to 939 of the family's 1533-position model. The record is from RNAcentral. Lineage: Bacteria; Bacillati; Bacillota; Bacilli; Lactobacillales; Lactobacillaceae.
AGUUUGAUCCUGGCUCAGGAUGAACGCUGGCUGUGUGCCUAAUACAUGCAUGUCGAGCGAGGUUAGCAAUAACCUAGCGGCGAAUGGGUGAGUAACACGUGCUUAAUCUACCUUUUAGAUUGGAAUACCCAUUGGAAACAAUGGCUAAUGCCGGAUACGCAUGGAACCGCAUGGUUCCGUUGUGAAAGGCGCUGUAAGGCGCCACUAAAAGAUGAGGGUGCGGAACAUUAGUUAGUUGGUGAGGUAAUGGCCCACCAAGACGAUGAAGUUUAGCCGGGUCGAGAGACUGAACGGCCACAUUGGGACUGAGAUACGGCCCAAAAUCCUACGGGAGGCAGCAGAAGGGAAUAUUCCACAAUGGGCGAAAGCUUGAUGGAGCGCCACAGCGUGCACGAUGAAGGUCUUCGGAUUGUAAAGUGCUGUUAUAAGGGAAGAACAUUUGCAAUAGGAAAUGAUUGCAGACUGACGGUACCUUGUCAGAAAGCGAUGGCUAACUAUGUGCCAGCAGCCGCGGUAAUACAUAGGUCGCAAGCGUUAUCCGGAAUUAUUGGGCGUAAAGCGUUCGUAGGCUGUUUGUUAAGUCUGGAGUUAAAUCCCGGGGCUCAACCCCGGCUCGCUUUGGAUACUAGCAAACUAGAGUUAGAUAGAGGUAAGCGGAAUUCCAUGUGAAGCGGUGAAAUGCGUAGAUAUAUGGAAGAACACCAAAGGCGAAGGCAGCUUACUGGGUCUAUACUGACGCUGAGGGACGAAAGCGUGGGGAGCAAACAGGAUUAGAUACCCUGGUAGUCCACGCCGUAAACGAUGAUCAUUAGUCGGUGGAGAAUCACUGACGCAGCUAACGCAUUAAAUGAUCCGCCUGAGUAGUAUGCUCGCAAGAGUGAAACUUAAAGGAAUUGACGGGGACCCGCACAAGCGGUGGAGCA